This 477-nucleotide ribosomal RNA is filed under the name uncultured bacterium. Its description in RNAcentral is "partial 16S ribosomal RNA". It matches the Rfam family "Bacterial small subunit ribosomal RNA", at positions 30 to 507 of the family's 1533-position model. The record is from RNAcentral.
AUUGAACGCUGGCGGCAUGCCUUACACAUGCAAGUCGAACGGUAACAGGUUAAGCUGACGAGUGGCGAACGGGUGAGUAAUGUAUCGGAACGUGCCCAGUCGUGGGGGAUAACUGCUCGAAAGAGCAGCUAAUACCGCAUACGACCUGAGGGUGAAAGCGGGGGAUCGCAAGACCUCGCGCGAUUGGAGCGGCCGAUAUCAGAUUAGGUAGUUGGUGAGGUAAAGGCUCACCACGCCGACGAUCUGUAGCUGGUCUGAGAGGACGACCAGCCACACUGGGACUGAGACACGGCCCAGACUCCUAUGGGAGGCAGCAGUGGGGAAUUUUGGACAAUGGGCGCAAGCCUGAUCCAGCCAUGCCGCGUGCGGGAAGAAGGCCUUCGGGUUGUAAACCGCUUUUGUCAGGGAAGAAAAGGUUCUGGCUAAUACCUGGGACUCAUGACGGUACCUGAAGAAUAAGCACCGGCUAACUACGUG